CAGAAAUGUCUUUAGGAGAGGUGAGGCCUUUUGGCUUAUGUGCUGUGCACAUGGCAAGGGCUGUGGGCUGGCAGCAGAGCCAGGAAUGAAAUGAAACAGCAGCCCUGGUAGAGGAAGAGGCAUUUGCAGGGCUCUGGAGAAGGAUGAUUUCAUGGUGACAUUGGAUUUCCUGCUUGGCUCCACACAGAACUCGUGGUGUGACCUGGGGAGGAAACCUUCAGUGCUGGGCAGAAGGAAGCCUGUGGGAAGAGGCAGAACCAGCUUUGCAUGGGAACACCUCAUCCAAGGAGAGGAUCCAAAGGAACAGGGGAAUUUGGGAUGAGCUCUGUGCUUUGCUGGUGGGACAUCAUGCCCUAAGAGAUCAAUCCCAUCAUCACAGGACAACCUUUCUUUUCAGCUUGCCUGUUCCCUGAGCUCCUGCUCAGCUAAUGGGAGUUAAUUAAUUGUCUCCAGGGUAAGGAAACCAGCUGUAAUUCCUGGCUGCAGAGGUUUGGUUGCUUAAAUAUCUUCAUUGGCACCGGGAGGCUUGCAUCAAUUCAGAGUAGUUGGCCACUGUUUUGUGAACAUAAACCUCUGCAGGCAUCAGUUUGGGUUUGUUGUUGUUCCAUCACCCUGGAGGAGGGGAGCUGCUGGGGGAUGCUGCACUUGCACCUUGAGCCCUUGUGUGACCAUCAGAGUGGCUCUGAUCUGCAUGGACACUUUGAUGGACACGGUCAUGAAGCAAAUGUGAGCCCUUCCCUCACCAAAUCCUGCUCCCCAGUGCAGGCAGCAGCAGGAGGUUCAGGCCUGGAGUCUGCAGAACAUCUUUCCAGGAUGGGCCUUGAGGAGUGUGCCCAGUGU
This is a long non-coding RNA of Haemorhous mexicanus (house finch), 840 nucleotides long. RefSeq lists it as uncharacterized. The transcript is spliced from 3 exons. Lineage: Eukaryota; Metazoa; Chordata; Aves; Passeriformes; Fringillidae. The record is from RefSeq and is a predicted model, not a curated record.